Molecule: long non-coding RNA, 1068 nt
Organism: Magnolia sinica
Lineage: Eukaryota; Viridiplantae; Streptophyta; Magnoliopsida; Magnoliales; Magnoliaceae
Exons: 6
Source: RefSeq, a predicted model, not a curated record
CUCCCUCUCUCGAUUUCCUUUUUCCUCUCUCCCUCUUGAUCAAAAUCGGUUUUUCUCCUCCGACGAUCUUCCCCUCUCUCCUGUGAAGCACUCUGGGAUGCCAUUGCAGCCAUUUGCAACUCAGAUCCAGCGAGACAACAGCUGGCAAUGAAGCCAACCUUCCAACUUUUUGAUCUAGAUUAGAGAUGGUUUCCAACAAAUGCACAACCCUUAUCAAGUAAGGGGUUUUUGGAGAUUGGAGAUGGUGGGCAGGAGAUGCAGCGGCAAGGGUUUCGGAUUUGCAGCUGGAGGUGGGUUUGGAGCUUGCGACUAGAGCUGACUCGCUUGUUACAAGGUCAUUCCAUCCUGGAAUGAACUGAAAACACAAAUACUAGCCUGGUUCAAAAUUUGGAUCUCACACCCGUGUGCCAUAUUGGCACAUAUGCUUGCAUUUGGGUUUGUAAGAAUGUGGAAGGCCAAAGAUAUUCCAAGCGGUUAAAUGAGAGAAAUUUCCAGGUGGUAUCGACUUGAGGCAUUUCCGGAUUGCGGGUUGGCUUUCUACAGUUUAUGGGAGAUUCUCAAGUUGCCCCACAUCAUCAUCAUCAACAAUAGACAAAUCCUUGAGGUCAUUACAUGUUCUCAAUCUAAGUCCCUCUGCAAUCCCAAUCCGAAAUCCCCUGCGAAUUCCGAGGCUGCUCCAUGUUCCGCGAGAACAAGUGGAAGAACAACCGAAGAGUGUGUGAGAUAAUGGAGCAGAGCUGGAUAGUAGACUAAUAGGUGCAAUCCCCAUCCAUUCAUCUUUUAUUUUCUCUGCUUAAACAAAUGGUAGAAGACAAUGGAGGGAUUUGGAGUGGAGGGAUUCUGUUUACCGAUUUUAAUGGAUAUAACAUGUAUGAAUUGUUGUUGGAGGAUUUGAUACUUUGUUUCUUCCCGAAAGUUGGUGCUCAUGUAAUAUUAUAUGCCAUGUAUCUCUUACUUAGUAUGGUGUGAAUAAAAAGGGACUAGCUGAUAGCAUGCAGGAACUUCAAACACAGAUUGUCUGUUUAAGAAUACUUAGUGUAGUUUGCAGAUAUUUGUCUUGAUUCAUCA